This 490-nucleotide ribosomal RNA is filed under the name uncultured bacterium. RNAcentral's name for it is "partial 16S ribosomal RNA". It matches the Rfam family "Bacterial small subunit ribosomal RNA", at positions 30 to 507 of the family's 1533-position model. The record is from RNAcentral.
AUUGAACGCUGGCGGCAGGCCUAACACAUGCAAGUCGAACGGUAACAGGAAGCAGCUUGCUGCUUCGCUGACGAGUGGCGGACGGGUGAGUAAUGCCUGGGAAACUGCCUGAUGGAGGGGGAUAACUACUGGAAACGGUAGCUAAUACCGCAUAACGUCGCAAGACCAAAGAGGGGGACCUUAGGGCCUCUUGCCAUCGGAUGUGCCCAGAUGGGAUUAGCUAGUAGGUGGGGUAACGGCUCACCUAGGCGACGAUCCCUAGCUGGUCUGAGAGGAUGACCAGCCACACUGGAACUGAGACACGGUCCAGACUCCUACGGGAGGCAGCAGUGGGGAAUAUUGCACAAUGGGCGCAAGCCUGAUGCAGCCAUGCCGCGUGUAUGAAGAAGGCCUUCGGGUUGUAAAGUACUUUCGGCGGGGAGGAAGGGAGUAAAGUUAAUACCUUUGCUCAUUGACGUUACCCGCAGAAGAAGCACCGGCUAACUCCGUG